RNAcentral lists this long non-coding RNA (325 nucleotides) under Phoenix dactylifera (date palm). RNAcentral describes it as "long non-coding RNA (PDAC_LNC008909)". The record is from RNAcentral. Lineage: Eukaryota; Viridiplantae; Streptophyta; Magnoliopsida; Arecales; Arecaceae.
CAAAUUAGUUAGUUUAAUAGAUGCAGUGAGUGAAGAGAGAGAAAGAAACAAUCAGCCAAUACAAACAUAGUAAAGUUUAUAGUGGUUCGAAGCCAACUCUUGCUCCUACGUCCACUCCCUAAGCCGCACUUGGAAGUUCACUAUAAUUUCUAGGAUUACAGCCAGUUGUUUUACAAGCUUACAACCCAACUUGUUGUUUUAACAAGUUUACAACGAACUCGGUCGGUUUUCACAGGCUCACCGACUAGAACCACCCGAUUAUUUUUUCGGAUUCACAAUCAAACCCAGUUGGUUUUUUCCGGUUCACCAACCACAACCUUACACU